Molecule: small RNA, 102 nt
Filed under: Pseudomonas marginalis
Lineage: Bacteria; Pseudomonadati; Pseudomonadota; Gammaproteobacteria; Pseudomonadales; Pseudomonadaceae
Also listed under: 1 other name
Description: ykkC-yxkD
Rfam family: Guanidine-I riboswitch aptamer
About the family: This family represents a conserved RNA structure found upstream of the ykkC and yxkD genes in Bacillus subtilis and related genes in other bacteria. The function of this family is unclear although it has been suggested that it may function to switch on efflux pumps and detoxification systems in response to harmful environmental molecules.
Source: RNAcentral
GCAAUGGCCGACUAGGGUUCCGGCUCGCCGAAAGCGAGUGGCUGGUCCGAGAGUUGGCGACCUCCAGUUGAGGUUACACGGCGGGAUAAAAGCCCGGGAGAC